Molecule: ribosomal RNA, 334 nt
Filed under: uncultured eukaryote
Lineage: Eukaryota
Description: partial 18S ribosomal RNA
Rfam family: Eukaryotic small subunit ribosomal RNA
Source: RNAcentral
CCCUUAGAUGUCCGGGACCGCACGCGCGCUACACUGAAGGAAUCAGCGUGGCUUUCUCCCUGACCCGAAAGGGUUGGGAAACCCGUUGAAUCUCCUUCGUGAUAGGGAUUGGGGCUUGAAAUUGUUCCCCAUGAACGAGGAAUUCCCAGUAAGCGCAAGUCAUCAGCUUGCGUUGAUUACGUCCCUGCCCUUUGUACACACCGCCCGUCGCUACUACCGAUUGAAUGGUUUAGUGAGAUCCUUGGAUCGGCCCUGUCGCGGCUGGCAACGGCCGCGUCGGCGCGUCGAGAAGACGAUCAAACUUGAUCAUUUAGAGGAAGUAAAAGUCGUAACA